ACGGGAGGCAGCAGUGGGGAAUAUUGCACAAUGGGCGGAAGCCUGAUGCAGCGACGCCGCGUGAGGGAUGACGGCCUUCGGGUUGUAAACCUCUUUCAGCACCGACGAAGCGAGAGUGACGGUAGGUGCAGAAGAAGCGCCGGCCAACUACGUGCCAGCAGCCGCGGUAAGACGUAGGGCGCGAGCGUUGUCCGGAUUUAUUGGGCGUAAAGAGCUCGUAGGCGGCUUGUCGCGUCGACUGUGAAAACCCGUGGCUCAACUGCGGGCUUGCAGCCGAUACGGGCAGGCUGGAGUUCGGUAGGGGAGACUGGAAUUCCUGGUGUAGCGGUGAAAUGCGCAGAUAUCAGGAGGAACACCGGUGGCGAAGGCGGGUCUCUGGGCCGAUACUGACGCUGAGGAGCGAAAGCGUGGGGAGCGAACAGGAUUAGAUACCCUGGUA
This 439-nucleotide ribosomal RNA is filed under the name uncultured Actinomycetales bacterium. RNAcentral describes it as "bacterial SSU rRNA". It matches the Rfam family "Bacterial small subunit ribosomal RNA", at positions 341 to 792 of the family's 1533-position model. Lineage: Bacteria; Bacillati; Actinomycetota; Actinomycetes; Actinomycetales. The record is from RNAcentral.